Molecule: ribosomal RNA, 136 nt
Filed under: uncultured eukaryote
Lineage: Eukaryota
Description: partial 18S ribosomal RNA
Rfam family: Eukaryotic small subunit ribosomal RNA
Source: RNAcentral
UGGUGGAGUGAUUUGUCUGCUUAAUUGCGAUAACGAACGAGACCUCGGCCCUUAAAUAGCCCGGUCCGCAUUUGCGGGCUGCUGGCUUCUUAGGGGGACUAUCGGCUCAAGCCGAUGGAAGUACGUGGCAAUAACA